GUGACAUUUGUGUAUGCAUCGCAAUAUAUUAUUUUAUACAGAAGAAAUUUAUCGUUAAAUAUAGAGUCAAAACUCUUUUGCGUCGACUCCAGUAUAGUUUUUUUUCAAGCAAUAAAAAUACAGGCAAAAAUGUCUGAGGGUGAAGCAUCAACAUCAUAUGAGCGUAAAUACGUCAAACCGGUGCCAUCUGUCGAAUCGAUGCGGGAUAUGGCUCUUUGGAAGAAAUCAAACGCUUAUUAUGAUAUCAUUAGUUUCAUCAGCAUGAUAAAUGAGGCAGUUCAAGGAAAGAAAUUGAGCACAAAAUUGAUACCGUCACCAAUUGCAGAUAAUUUACUACAUAUCUUCGAUGCUUUGAAUAAAAUGAUAGAUGAAACACCACAAACACUCGGCAACCAAGCCUAUCGUGAUUGGUUUGAAAAGAUGAGAAGUGACUCAACGGAAUUACUAAAAAAAGAAUUACCAGUGAUACCUCAUCAUGCACUCAUUGAAGUCAGCAAAUAUUUUAUUGAAUCAUUUGGUAAUGCGACACGAAUUGACUAUGGACCCAGUCAUGAAUUGGCAUUCAUCAUGUUUUUGUGUGCACUUUAUAAAAUCCAUGUAUUGGACGAAAGUGAUAAUUUAUGUGUUGGAUUGAAAAUAUUCAAUGCAUAUUUACAAGUUGUACGUCGAUUGCAGUUAACAUAUAGCAUGGAAACCGCUGGUAGUCAUGGUGUUUCAAGCAUGUAUGACGAUCAAUACUUACCAUUUAUUUGGGGAAGCGCUCAGCUUUGUGCAAAGGAACCGUUCGAACCAAAUCGUUCGCUUGAAACCAAUGUCAUCAGGCGAUUCAAAAAUGAAUACUACGUCAUUGGAUGUAUUGAUCACUUUCGACAGGUGAAUACUGAUAGUUUUGCCGAAUAUUCAAAUCCGUUGUGGAGCACAAGCAGCGUUUAUUCGUGGGUAAAAAUAAAUUCCAUUCUCAUCGAGAAUUAUGAAAAAGAGUUGCUUGCAGAAUUCCCUGUGAUUCAACAUGUGCUGUUCGGAUCAAUUUUAGAAUUGAAGGAAAUUUCAGUGAUCGAUCAAAUCAAAAAAAUGAAAAUCGAAAUGAAAAACGAAAUGAAAAACGAAAUCAAAGGGAUGCAUCAGCAACUCAACAAACCGACAACGAUUUGGGAAAUGAUUUCAUCUCAAUUGGUAUGGCUCUUCAGCCUGAGAUGGACAACAAUUUCAAACAAGGUUUCGAAACUUAUUUCUGGAAGCAAACAUUAGAAACCAAACCAUACAAAGGUUUUUAUCAAAGGUUAAAUAUUUAUAUAAAUUUUGAUACUAGCGUAAAUAAAUCAAUAACCGCUCAGCUUCUGGAAAAUGUCGAUGGCACCAUUGCCAAUGCAUUGGAUCUUUUGCAACCACAUGCAGAAAAAUGGACGAAUUUUUUUCAAUAUUUUUUUCUUUACUUUUUUCGUAUUUUAUCACAUAUACUAUGCAAAGCUUUGCAAUUACUUUAUUAUCUAUGCAUAGAUUUGUGGAUUGUAGAAUGUAUUCAAAGGUGUUGGGAAUCCUGUGAAUAAUAUAGAGUUUAUCAAUAAAAUAGUAUAUCCGCAGAAAAAAA
Molecule: RNA transcript, 1588 nt
Organism: Sitodiplosis mosellana (orange wheat blossom midge)
Lineage: Eukaryota; Metazoa; Arthropoda; Insecta; Diptera; Cecidomyiidae
Gene name: serine/threonine-protein phosphatase 2A activator-like
Exons: 6
Source: RefSeq, a predicted model, not a curated record